This 641-nucleotide unclassified non-coding RNA is filed under the name Hevea brasiliensis (rubber tree). Lineage: Eukaryota; Viridiplantae; Streptophyta; Magnoliopsida; Malpighiales; Euphorbiaceae. The record is from RNAcentral.
ACGACUUCAGGUAAUGAAUAAUAUGUAAAAUUCGAACCCGUUAUAGGUAUUAUUUUUUAAAUUCGGACUCGUUUCAAACUUUAUUAUAUAUUAUCCAAAUCUAUUUUAUUAAAGUUCGAUCGAAUCGAGUAUUCACAAAAAUCCGACCAUGACAUCCCUACAUUACACCAUCCAUAUAAAAACUAAUUUUUUGUUCCUAAUAUUACAAAUGGAAUUUUAUUAAUUUGAUACUAAUUUUCAUUUCGCACCCUUGGAAGGAAGAUGCCCACUCAGCAUGGGGUGAUUAAGCAGGUAGGUGUCGAAAAUCAAUGUCAACGUUGAUUGGGAAGAUAUACUUCUUACUUUACCCAAAACUCAACGAUAGAGAGGUUAAAAAAUGGACAAGAGCAGCAGUAGAAUUAAGGCAGAUAUAAAUGGGGAAUAAGUGGAAAGCAAAGUGGCGGAUUGGAUGGAAUGUUCAUUAAUCUUUAUGAUUAAAGAAUAAAAGGAUUUAAUGAUACGUCAUUUCUACUAUUUUCGUACUAUUCAUCUAAAACAAUAACUCUCCCUCUUACCCAAUGCCCAUUGUAGAGUGGAUAUGUUUAUUUUUUCAAUCGAAUGUAGUAAAUUUCAUUAAUAAGAGAUUGAUGGCCUUAAAUUAA